This 1167-nucleotide long non-coding RNA is filed under the name Phasianus colchicus (ring-necked pheasant). RNAcentral describes it as "lncRNA (ENSPCLG00000008952.1)". Lineage: Eukaryota; Metazoa; Chordata; Aves; Galliformes; Phasianidae. The record is from RNAcentral.
GGAACUGAAUUAUACCCAGCUUGGAGCGAGAUCAUUAAACCAAGGGUGCUUCCUGAAGUGCUGGAAUUCUGUCGGCAGCCAUUUUGUGCAUGUGUGACUGGAUGGUGCACGGCCUGCUUUGCGCUAAGCUCGUUGUUCCUUCCUGCUCAGACUGCAUAUCCUUUCCAUUUCUUACUGCCAAGCCUGGACACUGCACUGGGGCAGUGGUGGCCGAUGGGACGGGGCAGGAGGGUGCUCUGCAUUCCCGCCAGGUGCUCAGCACCUCACAGCACAGCCGCCUGCCCGCCAGCAUGGAGCCGCGCCAUGGCAAGGCGAGGCUGCAUGUGCAGCAUGUUUACAUUCACAGCUUUGGCUCCCACCGCUGUGGAUCCAUCAUCCGCUAUGACAAGGGCUGCAUGCAGGCUGAGAGGAGCGGGGCUGGGAGCCUGCUUUCCCAGCAGAGCCUCACGGACAGGAGAAGGGGGCAGAGGGCUGCCCGGGUGCUGAGGGAAGAGGCUGACCUUGGGAGGAUGGCUGCUGCUGAUGGGGUGCAGGCCACAGGGAGCUGUGGUGGGGUGAAGCACGUCAGUCUGCACUGUGGUGACCCUCGAGAGGAAAAGGCUGAUGCCUUUGACUUUCCCUUCCCUUCAAGAAAUGUUGAAAAAGUAAUUAAACGAAAGAAGAAGGAGUCCAAAGUCUGGCUUAAAGUCUGGAAAGUAAUUUCAAAAAUGCUUGAAGAAAAUGAAAAGUUCCGACAUCGACUGUUGACUUGCAGUCAGUUCAGUGGAGAAGGCAAUGAUGCGAACCAAAAUUCACAGAAGGGUUCCCCCUGGACAGGGAGUCCAUCUUUGGUUGGGUGUAGCAAGAAAAUAAAGGAAGAUUCAGGCCAAAAGGAAAUAUAAAACUACUGAAAUUGUUUUCAUCUAGAUCUUACUAAAAUUAGUGAGAAGACCACAAAUGAUUUACAUGAGCACUGUUUCUCUGUUGUUUGCUUGGCAUAUAUGUUUCUGCUGUUCAAUAGGUUUGUUUUUAAAGUGGCUUAAAUAGCUUCUUGCAAGAUAUUCGAAGUCAUUAAGUCUGAUAUUUCACUUAGUUAUUAGUUUUUGAAAGCUUUUUAGUGAGUAUAGUAUUGUGACAGUUUGCUUGUAAAAGAAUAAAGAUGCACAUUUAGUGUUGAUGUCUAUUUUA